CCAAGGAGUCUAUCAUUGCCGCGAGUCAUUGGGUUUACUAAACCUAAAGGCGUAGUGAAAGCAAAGGUUACUCGGUAACUGAGGCAUGAUCCCUUUUGGGCGCAAUGCCGGCGCUUUGCAUCGACCUCGCUUCGUGCAGAGCAGCAAGAGCGGUAACGAUGGGACCCGAAAGAUGGUGAACUAUGCCUGGCCAGGUUGAAGUCAGGGGAAACCCUGAUGGAGGACCGUAGCGAUUCUGACGUGCAAAUCGAUCGUCGGAGCUGGGUAUAGGGGCGAAAGACUAAUCGAACCAUC
Molecule: ribosomal RNA, 294 nt
Filed under: Euterpina acutifrons
Lineage: Eukaryota; Metazoa; Arthropoda; Copepoda; Harpacticoida; Euterpinidae
Description: partial 28S ribosomal RNA
Rfam family: Eukaryotic large subunit ribosomal RNA
Source: RNAcentral